RNAcentral lists this ribosomal RNA (429 nucleotides) under Fusobacteriota bacterium. RNAcentral describes it as "Fusobacteria bacterium partial 16S ribosomal RNA". It matches the Rfam family "Bacterial small subunit ribosomal RNA", at positions 355 to 776 of the family's 1533-position model. Lineage: Bacteria; Fusobacteriati; Fusobacteriota. The record is from RNAcentral.
UGGGGAAUAUUGCACAAUGGGCGCAAGCCUGAUGCAGCCAUGCCGCGUGUAUGAAGAAGGCCUUCGGGUUGUAAAGUACUUUCAGCGGGGAGGAAGGGAGUAAAGUUAAUACCUUUGCUCAUUGACGUUACCCGCAGAAGAAGCACCGGCUAACUCCGUGCCAGCAGCCGCGGUAAUACGGAGGGUGCAAGCGUUAAUCGGAAUUACUGGGCGUAAAGCGCACGCAGGCGGUUUGUUAAGUCAGAUGUGAAAUCCCCGGGCUCAACCUGGGAACUGCAUCUGAUACUGGCAAGCUUGAGUGUCGUAGAGGGGGGUAGAAUUCCAGGUGUAGCGGUGAAAUGCGUAGAGAUCUGGAGGAAUACCGGUGGCGAAGGCGGCCCCCUUGACGAAGACUGACGCUCAGGUGCGAAAGCGUGGGGAGCAAACAGG